GAUCCUGGCUUAGGAUGAACGCUGGCGGCGUGCUUAACACAUGCAAGUCGAACGGAGUUUUUAAACCGAAGUUUCGGAUGGAAGUUUAGAAACUUAGUGGCGGACGGGUGAGUAACGCGUGGGUAACCUGCCUCAUACAGGGGGAUAACAGUUAGAAAUGACUGCUAACACCGCAUAAUAUAGCGAAACCGCAUGAUUUUGCUAUCAAAUAUUUAUAGGUAUGAGAUGGGCCCGCGUCUGAUUAGCUAGUUGGUGGGGUAAAAGCCUACCAAGGCGACGAUCAGUAGCCGGCUUGAGAGAGUGACCGGCCACAUUGGGACUGAGACACGGCCCAAACUCCUACGGGAGGCAGCAGUGGGGAAUAUUGGACAAUGGGGGAAACCCUGAUCCAGCGAACCGCCGCGUGAGUGAAGAAGUAUUUCGGUAUGUAAAGCUCUAUCAGCAGGGAAGAUAAUGACAGUACCUGACUAAGAAGCCCCGGCUAACUACGUGCCAGCAGCGGC
This 503-nucleotide ribosomal RNA is filed under the name uncultured bacterium. Its description in RNAcentral is "bacterial SSU rRNA". It matches the Rfam family "Bacterial small subunit ribosomal RNA", at positions 15 to 518 of the family's 1533-position model. The record is from RNAcentral.